CCCUCCCUCUUGCUUCAUGCCUAACACAUGCAAGUCGAACGAGACCUUCGGGUCUAGUGGCGCACGGGUGCUUAACGCGUGGGAACCUGCCUUUAGGUUCGGAAUAACUCAGAGAAAUUUGAGCUAAUACCGGAUGAUGUCUUCGGACCAAAGAUUUAUCGCCUUUAGAUGGGCCCGCGUUGGAUUAGCUAGUUGGUGGGGUAAAGGCCUACCAAGGCGACGAUCCAUAGCUGGUCUGAGAGGAUGAUCAGCCACACUGGGACUGAGACACGGCCCAGACUCCUACGGGAGGCAGCAGUGGGGAAUAUUGGACAAUGGGCGAAAGCCUGAUCCAGCAAUGCCGCGUGAGUGAUGAAGGCCUUAGGGUUGUAAAGCUCUUUUACCCGAGAUGAUAAUGACAGUAUCGGGAGAAUAAGCUCCGGCUAACUCCGUG
RNAcentral lists this ribosomal RNA (433 nucleotides) under uncultured bacterium. RNAcentral's name for it is "partial 16S ribosomal RNA". It matches the Rfam family "Bacterial small subunit ribosomal RNA", at positions 36 to 507 of the family's 1533-position model. The record is from RNAcentral.